RNAcentral lists this transfer RNA (65 nucleotides) under Pista cristata. RNAcentral's name for it is "tRNA-His". The record is from RNAcentral. Lineage: Eukaryota; Metazoa; Annelida; Polychaeta; Terebellida; Terebellidae.
AUGGAAGUAAUUUAAUAAAAAUACUGAGUUGUGGUUUCAGAUUUAUAGAUUUUCUAUCUUUCAUC